AAGGUGCUAGUAACAAAAAUUACACCGCCUUGUCAAGGCGGAAUUGUGGGUUAGAGCCCCGCGCAUCUUA
RNAcentral lists this transfer RNA (70 nucleotides) under Gymnothorax reticularis. Its description in RNAcentral is "tRNA-Asp". RNAcentral also lists the same sequence under 1 other name. Lineage: Eukaryota; Metazoa; Chordata; Actinopteri; Anguilliformes; Muraenidae. The record is from RNAcentral.